UGGGGAAUCUUGCGCAAUGCGCGAAAGCGUGACGCAGCAACGCCGCGUGGGGGAAGACGGCCUUCGGGUUGUAAACCCCUUUCAGGAGGGACGAAGGUGUGGCAGUUAAUAGCUGUCCGCACUGACGGUACCUCCACAAGAAGCUCCGGCUAACUACGUGCCAGCAGCCGCGGUAAUACGUAGGGAGCAAGCGUUGUCCGGAAUCAUUGGGCGUAAAGCGCGCGUAGGCGGCCCGGUAAGUCCGCUGUGAAAGUCCAGGGCUCAACCCUGGGAUGCCGGUGGAUACUGUCGGGCUAGAGUCCGGAAGAGGCGAGUGGAAUUCCUGGUGUAGCGGUGGAAUGCGCAGAUAUCAGGAGGAACACCUAUAGCGAAGGCAGCUCGCUGGGACGGAACUGACGCUAAGGCGCGAAAGCGUGGGGAGCGAACAGG
Molecule: ribosomal RNA, 429 nt
Filed under: uncultured bacterium
Lineage: Bacteria
Description: bacterial SSU rRNA
Rfam family: Bacterial small subunit ribosomal RNA
Source: RNAcentral